GGUGCAGCGAAACUUGAUGAUGACGUACCACCCAGCAGGUUUGACUCGUCAGUGAAUAAAGUUGCGGCUGUGCGUAACGUCUCAGUUUCCUCCUCGUACCGGUGCGGCCAGUUACCUCAAGGCGCACUGCUCUUUAACCAUAUUAUUAUUCACGUUUAAAUAAAAUUCGUUUUUUUUUCCUCAUCUUCUUUUCUUUUCUGGAAACCCAACACCAUCAAAGCUGAAGUUCUUUUAGAAAAGGCCGUGUUUCUACACCCCCACCCUUUCACUCUCAUUCUUUUUGAGGAUCUUUCAUUGUCAAGCCGCCAAAGUGGAGAGUGUGAUUGCAGAGGGGGGUGCUUCUCGUUUCAGUGCUUCUUCGGGCGGAGGAGGAGGUAGGGGUGCAUCUCAGCACUAUCCCAAGUCUGUCGGCAACGGCGAGUUCCUGGGGAAAACCCCAGGACCUAACGUUCAGAGAUGGGUUCCUUCACGAAGCACUAGACGAGAUGUCAACUCCUCCAACGAAAAAGAACGACACGAUGCAAUCUUCAGGAAAGUGAGGGGCAUACUUAAUAAACUGACCCCUGAAAAGUUUGACAAGCUAUGCCUUGAGCUCCUGAAUGUGGGCGUAGAUUCAAAGCUCAUCCUCAAAGGAAUCAUCUUGCUGGUGAGGGGUUUGUUCAUUAUGUGUAGGCU
Sinocyclocheilus grahami is the source of this 675-nucleotide long non-coding RNA. RefSeq lists it as uncharacterized. NCBI's taxonomy places the organism in Eukaryota, Metazoa, Chordata, Actinopteri, Cypriniformes, Cyprinidae. The record is from RefSeq and is a predicted model, not a curated record. The transcript has 5 exons.